RNAcentral lists this ribosomal RNA (254 nucleotides) under uncultured bacterium. RNAcentral's name for it is "partial 16S ribosomal RNA". It matches the Rfam family "Bacterial small subunit ribosomal RNA", at positions 524 to 777 of the family's 1533-position model. The record is from RNAcentral.
UACGAAGGGGGCUAGCGUUGCUCGGAAUCACUGGGCGUAAAGCGCACGUAGGCGGCUUACUAAGUCAGGGGUGAAAUCCUGGAGCUCAACUCCAGAACUGCCUUUGAUACUGGUGAGCUUGAGUCCGGAAGAGGUGAGUGGAACUGCGAGUGUAGAGGUGAAAUUCGUAGAUAUUCGCAAGAACACCAGUGGCGAAGGCGGCUCACUGGUCCGGUACUGACGCUGAGGUGCGAAAGCGUGGGGAGCAAACAGGG